Molecule: ribosomal RNA, 314 nt
Filed under: Listeria monocytogenes
Lineage: Bacteria; Bacillati; Bacillota; Bacilli; Caryophanales; Listeriaceae
Description: partial 23S ribosomal RNA
Rfam family: Bacterial large subunit ribosomal RNA
Source: RNAcentral
AGUAAAUUGGUUAAGUUAGAAAGGGCGCACGGUGGAUGCCUUGGCACUAGGAGCCGAAGAAGGACGGGACUAACACCGAUAUGCUUUGGGGAGCUGUACGUAAGCGUUGAUCCAGAGAUUUCCGAAUGGGGGAACCCACUAUCUUUAGUCGGAUAGUAUCCUUACGUGAAUACAUAGCGUGAGGAAGGCAGACCCAGGGAACUGAAACAUCUAAGUACCUGGAGGAAGAGAAAGAAAAAUCGAUUUCCUGAGUAGCGGCGAGCGAAACGGAAAGAGCCCAAACCAAGAAGCUUGCUUCUUGGGGUUGUAGGACA